Molecule: ribosomal RNA, 433 nt
Filed under: uncultured bacterium
Lineage: Bacteria
Description: partial 16S ribosomal RNA
Rfam family: Bacterial small subunit ribosomal RNA
Source: RNAcentral
AACGAACGCUGGCGGCAUGCCUAACACAUGCCAGUCGAACGAGACCUUCGGGUCUAGUGGCGCACGGGUGCGUAACGCGUGGGAACCUGCCCUUAGGUUCGGAAUAACUCCCCGAAAGGGGUGCUAAUACCGGAUAAUUUCUUCGGACCAAAGAUUUAUCGCCUUUGGAUGGGCCCGCGUUGGAUUAGCUAGUUGGUAGGGUAAAAGCCUACCAAGGCGACGAUCCAUAGCUGGUCUGAGAGGAUGAUCAGCCACACUGGGACUGAGACACGGCCCAGACUCCUACGGGAGGCAGCAGUGGGGAAUAUUGGACAAUGGGCGAAAGCCUGAUCCAGCAAUGCCGCGUGAGUGAUGAAGGCCUUAGGGUUGUAAAGCUCUUUUACCCGGGAUGAUAAUGACAGUACCGGGAGAAUAAGCUCCGGCUAACUCCGUG